This 469-nucleotide long non-coding RNA is filed under the name Mytilus galloprovincialis (Mediterranean mussel). The record is from RNAcentral. Lineage: Eukaryota; Metazoa; Mollusca; Bivalvia; Mytilida; Mytilidae.
UUAAUGCAAAAAAAUGGCAUUUUUGCACCAAAGGGAGAUAAUUUGGAGCUUUUUCAAUGAUAUCUACAUUUUAAAAGUCACCUGGGGCCAACACGAAUUGAUUUUUUGGAAUGAUUUUUGUACCAUAUGAUAAAAUAACAUAACUACUAAAGGUAAUAAAUAAAAUUUGUAAUGAAAAAAUAAUGUUUAAUUUUUUUCUGAAAAUCUUAUACCCGCGAGCCUCCUUAAUAGUGUUUGUGCAAAUUCAUCUGUCCAGUCUUUCCUCUUAAUUGUAUUCUCUUUAAGUAUUGGUGAGUGUUCGCCAUGAAUUUCAGUAAGUAACUUGUGGAUUUACAUGUAUAUAUAUAUAUAUAUAUAUACUCAAAAUUUAGUACUAAUAUUAAUGGGAGUUUAGCAUGACAUCCUGUCAAAUGCUUGUUAAUCAUGUUUAUGUUCCAGAACAUAUGAGUAUUUGGACUGUACGCGUACA